CUGGACCGGCUGGUGGCGCCAGGCAGUGCCAAGCACCCCUGGCAGCCCUGCAGAGGGUUCUCAAAUCCAGAUUUCAUUCUGCAGUCCCGGCAGUGUUUUGACGACUGCCUCACUAAAGGAAGCUAAAAGCUGUGCUGAUGCCUCCCAGACGAGCCUCGUUGGAAGCACAGAACCUUCACGGCUCGGAGCCGCUGACACCGUGACAAAGGGAGCCCUGCUCAGGAGAAAGAGCAAAUGAGAGGCAGUUGCACUUUUUCAGGUGUCAGGCUGGAGGAAGCCACUUGAAGAUGAAUCUACCUCUGCCUUAGGAUUGCCUGAUGGCCUGUGCCAUUCCAUGUUAUAUCUACUGAUUUGCUCCCUGUAUUCAAAGAUUUUUUUUUUUUACUUAAUUCUCUCUUACUGACCCUGAGAGUGACCAUAUUUUUAACCAAUUUGGUCUUCAGCCUCAAAACUUAGCUCUUUCCUUUUGUGGUCCCCGAAUCCUAUCACGUGUCAUGGUGGCUGUGAAGAUGUUUGCCAAGCCUGCUGAGAAGGCUCAUCUGUGGCAUCCAAAAGCAGAGAUUUCAACUCUGGACCCCUGUGACCUGCCUUUGUAAUUAUGGAUACCCAGCACUGUUUUGAAAUAUCAGUGGACAUCCAGUUUUUAAAAGCCCUCAGAGCUUUGGGAGACACCCCUUUAUCUCUCUGGCAUGUCAGAGAACCGAUUCAACCCUUCUCAUCUCCUCCUCCUUCCCUCUCUUGGGCCAUCAGGAUGCGGCAGCAACUCACUGUGCAUGUUUUUACAGCUCUUCUCCAGUAAUGCUGCCAUUUCCACUGCAGACCACAGGAUAAAAGGACCGCUUCACCGUGGCCCAGGAUACCCUUUUAAGUAGGAGGUUGCAUGGGCUUGAUCCACAAUGACUCAGCUUUCAGCCAUCGCAAUUGUGCUAUGCUCAGCUGUCAAGUGUGUUUUAAAUCUCCUACUACAUUUUUUUUAAAGUUUUUCUGCCAUCCUUUGUACUCCUUUUUAAAAACUUAUCCAGGAAGUGGUAUGAAAUCUCCAGUACUUCUCGGCACACACAGAUGCGUCUUUUUCUGUUUAUUGUUUUCCCUCUGAGAGUUGUAGUGUUCAGUUGGUUACACCAAGAGAAGUACUUGGCUGGGACUGUUAAAAAAAGUGUCACAAAGCAGCACCAAGGAGAAAACAACACUGUUUUCUGAAUGUUCGUGCUUGGAAUUUCUUUACUACAGGGAAAAUGAGAUGGGGGAGGGCCCUUCUUAUCUAUUUUCAGACAGACAUCUCACAAAUGCAUAAAAAAUAUAAUCCUUUUAGUUCCACUGGCCUUGUAGUUGUUGUAAAUGCAUCUUAAAUUCCUAAAUGAUUUUUAAAUUACAUUAUGUCUUUCAGCGGUGUAGGCUUUGAUUUCUGAGGCUGUUAGCCAGAUAUAGGCUUUAACAAACACUCAUGUUCUUUUGUCUUUAUGUCUUUAUUUUAAAAUUAUAUAUAUACAUAUAUAUAUGUAUGUAUGUAUGUAUAAGUAUCCAGUGAGUAUAAGAAAAAUAUCAAAGAGAAGAAUUUUUCUCAUUCUGUCUUCAAAUAGGUAAUACUUCACAAAUUGAUGUAUGCUCAUGGACAAUAGCAGGUAAUGCUUUUGAAACUGAAAGAUUUGUCUCUGAGUUCCAACAAUUGUCUUAGCAGACAGAGUUUCAAGGUCAUCAAAUCUGUAUCCAUUGGUGGCAUAGAAGAUGUCAAUCACAUUGCCUUUGAAUCAGAACCUAUCAUUGUCAAUACAGAUAAACUGCAGGUUAACUCUCUCUCUGUCUCGCCCCUGGAAACUAGGCUUAAUGUUUUGCCAAAAAUUGGGUAUUUGCUCUUGACCCUAGAGCAAAGGCUCUCACUUCAACA
This 1885-nucleotide long non-coding RNA is filed under the name Homo sapiens (human). Its description in RNAcentral is "non-protein coding LINC01105:4". Lineage: Eukaryota; Metazoa; Chordata; Mammalia; Primates; Hominidae. The record is from RNAcentral.